GGCCUUCGGACUGGCUCAGGGAGGUCGGCAACGACCACCCAGAGCCGGAAAGUUGGUCAAACUCGGUCAUUUAGAGGAAGUAAAAGUCGUAACAAGGUCUCCGUAGGUGAACCUGCGGAGGGAUCAUUA
This 129-nucleotide ribosomal RNA is filed under the name Ramularia uredinicola. RNAcentral describes it as "partial 18S ribosomal RNA". It matches the Rfam family "Eukaryotic small subunit ribosomal RNA", at positions 1705 to 1831 of the family's 1831-position model. The record is from RNAcentral. RNAcentral also lists the same sequence under 1 other name. Lineage: Eukaryota; Fungi; Ascomycota; Dothideomycetes; Mycosphaerellales; Mycosphaerellaceae.